CUCAGAGCACACACAUACAGUUCAAUUGCCAUGGAGCCAAAGUCUUUCCCAUAGUCUUUCAUUAUACGAAUGGGCUCCAUGGCAUAGCUAUCUGGGCUAUCACUGCUCAAACAGGGCAAGCACCAAAUGACCCGGCUUUCUUGUCUUUGCAGGGGAAAAUCAAGCCUUUUAACAUGGGGCCAUAAUCCAAAGGCAACAGGCGAGCAACCAGGCUUCUCCAAUGCGAUGUGGCGAGAUUGCUCGUCACAUUUGUAUUUGGAGUAUGCGGAUUCUGAAAAUCAGCAAAGUAUGCAUCACAUUCACGUUUUAUGUGAAUGUGAUGCAUACUUUUCAAGUUAUGAAUAAUGUGGAAAAAUUUUAUUUCUCUGCUUGUUAUAAUUGCAUUACCCAUUGUGUAAGGUAAUUAAAUCACAUGCAGAGGGGAGGAUUUUGUGUGGGAGUGUCUGAGUGUAUUGUAUGUGUUUAAUGGUUGUGUUCCAAAACCCUGUGGGUGGUAUAAUGUGUAAGAAUGUGUACAUAAGGACAAUAAACCCACAACUCUGUCUGUUCACUGCUUGACCCUCAACACGGAGCUUUGUCUCGUUCUUGGGGGGAUUUAUUGUAUGCUGUUCCAGUUCGACUGCUAGGAGUGUAAACCUAUUCGUAUGGUUUUUCCUGUUCGGCUGUUUACGGCAUUCAUUUGGUUUCCUGUUCGGCGGAUUGGUGUUCUGCAGUAGCUGUGCCUGUGUCUCUGGAAGGGGAAGAUCUCCUAAACGGCGGUUUAACCCUUUUAUGCUGAGGGUGCCGUUACAGGGAUGUAUGUUUUUUAGGGUACUUUUGGUGUGUUUUGAAAAAGUAUGUUUUAUCUGUGCUUGGAGAUAAUUGGAUUAGAAUUAGUACAGUCACUGAUCCAAUUAUCUCCUAGACAGAGGGGAGGGAUUGUGUGCUGUGUGUGGGAGUGUCGUGCCUUGUAACCUUAUUGUUAUUGGUCUGUGAAGGUCAUUGUCAUUCCUGGGCUACCAUUUGGUCUCAAAGGCAACAUAACCAGUCUGGCAAGUUUCAAUGUGUAUAAACUGAAAAAUGUAAUGUGCCAAAUUUGACCCUGUAACUUUCCAAUAACACCAUAAAACCUGUUUUACCUGUGAGACAUCGCUGAAUACAAAUAUGUGUAUAUUAUUGCAGUAACAGCUUGGGGUACAUCCAAACUUUGGGGAAAAAUAUGUUCAUUUUAAUUAUGGUAUGUGGUUAUCUAAGGGGAGGAGAUGUAUGGAAUGUAUAUUGUGUUUAUUGGCUGUACUGUUAAUUAUGUGGGUGUCUCCCUUGCAUGGGCAGAAUCACAUAAAAGAGAGUGUCUGUCAUUAAAGCUUUAGUUCUGCUUGACCCUUCAAAACGUAGCCUUGUCACGUUUUUGAAAGGGAGAUUUUGCAGAAUAAUCACUAAGCUCUUUUCAGACCUGUACCUGACUUCUACCUUGGAUCCAGCAGAGGGGAAUAAGCAGCUCCAUCACUAUACAGCGACUUGCCGG
RNAcentral lists this long non-coding RNA (1504 nucleotides) under Pelobates cultripes (western spadefoot toad). Lineage: Eukaryota; Metazoa; Chordata; Amphibia; Anura; Pelobatidae. The record is from RNAcentral.